Non-coding RNA from Acanthosepion pharaonis, 94 nucleotides. The record is from the annotation of a GenBank genome assembly. NCBI's taxonomy places the organism in Eukaryota, Metazoa, Mollusca, Cephalopoda, Sepiida, Sepiidae.
GUUAAAACACCGGUUCCCGCAGGAUCACCGGUUAAGCAACAUCGAGCCUGGUUAGUACCUAGAUGGGUGACUGCUUGGGAAUACCAGAUGCUAU